RNAcentral lists this ribosomal RNA (447 nucleotides) under uncultured soil bacterium. Its description in RNAcentral is "bacterial SSU rRNA". It matches the Rfam family "Bacterial small subunit ribosomal RNA", at positions 26 to 469 of the family's 1533-position model. The record is from RNAcentral.
AGAUUGAACGCUGGCGGCAUGCCUAACACAUGCAAGUCGAACGGGAGUAGCAAUACUCUAGUGGCGGACGGGUGAGGAAUACGUAGGAAUUUGCCCUUAAGUGGGGGAUAACCCGGGGAAACCCGGAUUAAUACCGCAUGACCUCGAAAGAGCAAAGUGGGGGAUCGCAAGACCUCACGCUUUUGGAGAAGCCUACGUCGGAUUAGCUAGUUGGUGAGGUAAUGGCUCACCAAGGCGACGAUCCGUAACUGGUCUGAGAGGAUGAUCAGUCACACCGGAACUGAGACACGGUCCGGACUCCGUACGGGAGCAGCAGGUGGGAAUAGUUGGACAAGUGGGCGCAAGCCUGACUCCAGUCAAUCGGCCGCGUGUGUAGGAAGAACGGUCCGUUCGGGUUAGUAAACGGACUUAACGUUUAAAGGUUACGGGUAAAAGUAAAAAAACCGU